Long non-coding RNA from Pseudopipra pipra, 417 nucleotides. RefSeq lists it as uncharacterized. The transcript is spliced from 4 exons. The record is from RefSeq and is a predicted model, not a curated record. Lineage: Eukaryota; Metazoa; Chordata; Aves; Passeriformes; Pipridae.
GUCUCGGCACCGCCCCCCGCCCCGCUCCCGCUCCCGCUCCCGCCCCCGCCCCGCUCGGUCCCGCCGUGGCCUGGAGAUGCUGUCGGGGUUGCGCCGCCGCCUUCCCCCCCUGGAAGCGACCCACGGCGGCAGAUCCGACGGAGAUCGUCCCCGGGGUGACGAAGCUUAUGGAAAAAAAGACCAAAGGCCUCGAGGGAUGUUCUUCUUGAUCCCCCGGGGCAAACGGAGGUGUCGGCGUCAGGAGCCAUCCUAACUGAGGCCCUGGUAGGCUCCCUGUUUCCCUUCGGUCGCCGUGGGUGUGCCGGCCGCCUCUGGCAGGACUAACCCUGUGGCUUUUAUGUCCAGCGUGCUGUGCUGUGUGUGCCUGCAGGUAAGAAAAGCUGGGAGUGCAGUCCCUCUGCUUUGAUUGCUGUGUCU